Molecule: long non-coding RNA, 803 nt
Organism: Cynocephalus volans (Philippine flying lemur)
Lineage: Eukaryota; Metazoa; Chordata; Mammalia; Dermoptera; Cynocephalidae
Exons: 5
Source: RefSeq, a predicted model, not a curated record
UGCUUCUCCUUCUCAAUAUCCUCGCUUAGCACUGCCUGAGAAAGCAGAGAAGGGCGCAGGACCCAGAUUUUGCAGACAUUCAGACUUCCAGGGCUGCCCAACACAGUGGCACGAGUUCCAGCCCCGGCAAUCCAGGGAUCCGCCUCGGUGGACGCACCAGAACAGCUGGUUGUAGCCACUCUGGCUGUUUCUCUGCCCCUCUCUUCAGCCUGGGGGUGAAUCGGGAAGGAGCAGUGUGGGAGUAACUGAUCCCUCAUCCACGUUCCUAGUUUUCCUACUCCUGGUGGCUUCACUAUACCCAGCAAAUUAAGGAGGCGGACUCACCUGGCUCCAUAACUACAAAAGGGCACAGUGAGGAGCUCCAGGGAAUCCUGAAAAGAGAGACCAGUCACAGGAGGUUGAGGUCAGGUAGUUGCCCAAGCACUGCAAGGUGGACAUCAGGCCCAGAGGGCUUCCCUUGGACUUCUUGUGAGUGCAGAGGGCCUGGAGAACAAGACCCCAGAAAUUCCCAACGGGUCCAGUGCAUCGUGACCGAGAAGAAAGGAGAAUGUCACACCAAUAAGAUGUACCAAAGGUCCGAUGAGGAGAUUCAGAAACAAAUCCAAGAGCAUUACAGGGCAGAGCUGGAGAGACAGAAAGCGUAGACCCAGGGGAGUUUGAAAAGACGAUCAGAAACCUGGAAGAUAACCUGAAGUAGAAGGGGAGAAGGGAGGAAAUUGGGAAGAUGUGGGAGGAAAACGAGGUGGAGAAGAGGCGGGAGGAAAAUGAGGCAGAGAGGAGGUGGGAGGAAAGGCAGGAGAGGA